UUCACAGAUUAUGAGUUUAUUUACUAAUUCAUUUACUGAUAAAGAGUUAAAAAGAAAUCCUAACUAUGGCUCAAAUGCUCAUGUUUGUUUACACUUUAAUUAUAUUUCUUUCUCUAUUUCUUGUUAUUACAAAUAGUGUUCGUAUUCCUUGCGUAACUGUCGCCGAUUGUCCACCAACAAUUUUACCUGUAUUUUAUGAGUGCAUUGAUAAAUUUUGCAUGCUCCAUAUUGAGUAAAAAUUAAGUUUAAAAAUAAUCACGUUAUCUUUAACUGUAUAACUUUAUUUGUACUUUUAUAAUUUACUCCAAAGUUUGAUUUAUGUUUACCUGACAUUUCAAUUUUUAUGAA
Medicago truncatula (barrel medic) is the source of this 348-nucleotide long non-coding RNA. RefSeq lists it as uncharacterized. The record is from RefSeq and is a predicted model, not a curated record. The transcript is spliced from 2 exons. Lineage: Eukaryota; Viridiplantae; Streptophyta; Magnoliopsida; Fabales; Fabaceae.